RNAcentral lists this ribosomal RNA (399 nucleotides) under uncultured bacterium. RNAcentral describes it as "bacterial SSU rRNA". It matches the Rfam family "Bacterial small subunit ribosomal RNA", at positions 774 to 1162 of the family's 1533-position model. The record is from RNAcentral.
AGCUAAUAGAUACCCCGGUAGUCCACGCCGUAAACGAUGGGUACUAGGUGCCUGGGGGAGCGACCCCCUGGGUGCCGGCGCUAAACGCAGGAAAGUACCCCGCCUGGGGAGUACGGCCGCAAGGCUGAAACUCAAAGGAAUUGACGGGGGUCCCGCACAAGCGGUGGAGCAUGUGGUUUAAUUCGACGCAACGCGAAGAACCUUACCUAGGCUUGACAUGCAUGGGAAACCUCCUGAGAAACCCAGGAGCCUCCUUCGGGAUCCAUGCACAGGUGCUGCAUGGCUGUCGUCAGCUCGUGUCGUGAGAUGUUGGGUUAAGUCCCGCAACGAGCGCAACCCCGUGUUCUUAGUUGCCAGCGCGUAAUGGCGGGGUACUCUAGGAAGACUGCCGGUGCCAAA